UACAGAGGGUGCAAGCGUUAAUCGGAAUUACUGGGCGUAAAGGGUGCGUAGGUGGUUUGAUAAGUUGGGUGUGAAAGUCCUGGGCUUAACCUGGGGAUUGCGCUUAAUACUGUCGAGCUAGAGUACUGUAGAGGAAGGUGGAAUUUCCGGUGUAGCGGUGAAAUGCGUAGAUAUCGGAAGGAACAUCAGUGGCGAAGGCGACUUUCUGGACAGAUACUGACACUGAGGCACGAAAGCAUGGGGAGCAAACAGG
This 253-nucleotide ribosomal RNA is filed under the name uncultured bacterium. RNAcentral's name for it is "partial 16S ribosomal RNA". It matches the Rfam family "Bacterial small subunit ribosomal RNA", at positions 524 to 776 of the family's 1533-position model. The record is from RNAcentral.